RNAcentral lists this ribosomal RNA (774 nucleotides) under uncultured Neocallimastigales. Its description in RNAcentral is "partial large subunit ribosomal RNA". It matches the Rfam family "Eukaryotic large subunit ribosomal RNA", at positions 24 to 642 of the family's 3401-position model. The record is from RNAcentral. Lineage: Eukaryota; Fungi; Neocallimastigomycota; Neocallimastigomycetes; Neocallimastigales.
UAUCUCUGUAGAGUCUGCAUAUCAAUAAGCGGAGGAAAAGAAACUAACAAGGAUUCCCCUAGUAACGGCGAGUGAAGCGGGAAGAGCUCAAAUUUGAAAUCUUCAAGAUUUGACCUUGACGAAUUGUAGUUUAAAGAAGUGUUUUCGGUUAGAGGAGUAGUAAAAGUUCUUUGGAAUAGGACAUCAUAGAGGGUGAGAAUCCCGUAUUUGACUAUUCUUUCUAGCUUUGUGAUACACUUUCAAAGAGUCGGAUUGUUUGGGAAUGCAGUCCAAAAUGGGUGGUAAAUUUCAUCUAAAGCUAAAUAUUGGCGAGAGACCGAUAGCGAACAAGUACCGUGAGGGAAAGAUGAAAAGAACUUUGAAAAGAGAGUUAAACAGUACGUGAAAUUGUCAAAAGGGAAGCGUUUGACACCAGUGUUGUUUUUCCGAAAAUCAAUUAAAAAUUGAUUCAUGCCAGGUUGUAUUGACCUUAUCAGCUUGCAAUUUGGUUUUGGGUCUCUUUUUGAUGCACUUUUCGGUUAACAAGUCAACAUCAAUUUCCUUUGCUGUAAAAAGGUAAGAGGAAGGUGGCUUCAAUUUCGGUUGAAGUGUUUAUAGCCUUUUAUCUCUGCAGUCGGGGAGAUUGAGGUCUGCAGCGUAGAUCCUUCGGGGCUAGAUACAUUUAUGCUAAGUUAUAGCUUUUCAUAGACAACUUGUUGACUAUGUUUAGUCAUGUAGCUUACUCGUAAGUGCUAUUUUACCUACGCUUAGGAUGUUGAAGACUCUACAGAGAUA